RNAcentral lists this ribosomal RNA (582 nucleotides) under uncultured bacterium. Its description in RNAcentral is "bacterial SSU rRNA". It matches the Rfam family "Bacterial small subunit ribosomal RNA", at positions 102 to 694 of the family's 1533-position model. The record is from RNAcentral.
ACGGCGUAGGAAUUCAUAGGAACGUACCCUCAGGACGGGGAUAGCUACGGGAAACUGUAGGUAAUACCCGAUGAUCUCCGCGGAGCAAAGGUGUGAUUCCGCCUGAGGAGCGGCUUAUGCGAUAUUAGCUAGUUGGUGGGGUAAUGGCCUACCAAGGCGAAGAUGUCUAGGGGGUGUGAGAGCAUGGCCCCCACGACCGGAACUGAGAUACUGUCCGGACACCUACGGGUGGCUGCAGUCGAGAAUCUUCCGCAAUGGACGAAAGUCUGACGGAGCGACGCCGCGUGCGGGAUGAAGGCCCUUGGGUUGUAAACCGCUUUCGGAGGGGAUGAAAUCCUCGAGGGUUCUCCCUCGAGGUUGACAGAGCCUCAAAAGAAGCACGGGCUAAGUACGUGCCAGCAGCCGCGGUAACACGUACUGUGCGAACGUUAUUCGGAAUCACUGGGCUUAAAGGGUGCGUAGGCGGCGAUUCAAGUCAGAUGUGAAAUGCCUGAGCUCAACUGAGGCAUUGCGUUUGAAACUGAAUUGCUAGAGUAUUUCAGGGGUGUGCGGAACUGCCAGUGGAGCGGUGAAAUGUGUUGA